CCAGUGAGCUGCUUGGUGGCUCUUGGGCAAGCACUGAGUCUCUGCAGCUUCCCUGUUACAGGUUGUCAGGAGACUUCAUCUGCUCGUUCUCUACCAGAUGGGGGAGGGGGGGGGGAGAUAGCAAUGUCUUCUGCUUCCAGUGAGACUCAAUGUGAGCCCAGCUCAAGCACCGUCUCAGGGCAAGAGCUGGUAUUGGUGGGAGUGUCUACCACUGGGCUCAGGAAGAUGAACACAGGGCUGCAGCUCACUGUGGCAGCUGAAGCAGCUUUCCACGCACAUCGGCUGUGAGUGGCUUCAGUUCCUUGCUGGUUCCGGAUGAUAAAGAACUCCCAAGUUGGAAACUAAGUUGAGAGAGGAGGAGAAAAGGAGACAACUAGAGAGAGGGCGAGGACUGGGAUGCAUCACCUUGCAGAUUCUUUCACUAACUUAUGAAUGAGGAAACUGGACUUCAAGGAAGUCACCCAACCUCCUCCAAUCCUACAUGGCGGGUCCACAUCCUAGCUGUUCCUAGCGCCACACUCUGCUUUCUGGGCAAGCUCGGGUCCCUGCUGUAACUUGGAGUUGAAAGUUGGUUCUCAUUACUUUCAAAUGCUUCUGCCCUCAGUUAACGCUUCAAGCUUAACAUCUCACCAAAGGACCAAUAAAUCUCAUUUCCAAUACGUAACUGCCAGCAGUGAAACACACACACACACACACACACACACACAAAUCCCCCCAAACCGUUGCUCACUACUUCAGUGCGAGGCGUGGACUGCUACAGUCUGUCCACAGUGACAAGGCAGACACUGGGCACCAGCCCAGCAACACAUUCUUUGACAGCAGCAUGAAAUAUUUUACAACAGUUCCCAGGAAGUUCUCACUGGCUGUCCCAAUUACAAUGAAGUCUUCUUGAGGCAUCUGUUGAAGGGAGCCUUAACACACACAUCCCACUGGCAUCCUCGAGGCUUCAUGACAGCAAGCAGAUCCUGAGGACAAGGGAAACUGGGAUAGCCGAUCUUGUUUGUCAGCCUGAUUAGAUUCAAGAGCAAUCGAGAAACGCACUUCUGCGACGGUUAUGAGGACAUUUUCUAGAAGAACUGACUGAAGGGAGGAAGGCUGUUCCUCAGAGUGGCCAUCGACUUCCGGUGGGGGGAGGGGGGUUCAGCUAUGAAGAUGUCUGAAGGAAAAGCAGGGCUGUUUUUACCUGCCUGCCUUUAGUCCUUGCUGGUGAGCCCAUUACCCCACCGUUGUCACGGCAGUCAGCAUCAGUCCUUCACUGAUGUCAGACCCCAGCCUUUCCGGCUUCCCAUUGUGGCUUCCCAGGAACGCUCCAGGCCCUUGGCUGCCUUUUCAACCUCUGCACUGUGAAGGCAGACAUUGCUGGACUUCACAGUGGAUCGACUACCCAGCCUGUAUCCUAUAAGCCAAUUUAAUAAAUCCCUUUGUGACACCCA
Molecule: long non-coding RNA, 1433 nt
Filed under: Mus caroli (Ryukyu mouse)
Lineage: Eukaryota; Metazoa; Chordata; Mammalia; Rodentia; Muridae
Description: lncRNA (MGP_CAROLIEiJ_G0004602.1)
Source: RNAcentral